UCAGCCGCCGCGGUAAUACCAGCAGCCCAAGUGGUGGUCGCGUUUAUUGGGCCUAAAGCGCUCGUAGCCUGGCCGGUAAGUUCCCCGUGAAAUCGGGUCGCCCAACGAUUCGGCUUGCGGGGAAUACUGUCGGUCUUGGGCCGGGAGACGCCGAGGGUACUCCGGGGGUAGCGGUGAAAUGCUGUAAUCCUCGGGGGACUACCAGUGGCGAAGGCGCUCGGCGAUAACGGGCCUGACGGUGAGGGGCGAAAGCUGGGGGCGCGAACGGGAUUAGAUACCCCGGUAGUCCCAGCCGUAAAGGAUGCGGGCAAGGUGCUCGUCGCUCUUCGAGGGCGCCGGGUGCCGUAGAGAAGUCGUUAAGCCCGCCGCCUGGGAAGUACGGUCGCAAGGCUGAAACUUAAAGGAAU
Molecule: ribosomal RNA, 407 nt
Filed under: uncultured archaeon
Lineage: Archaea
Description: bacterial SSU rRNA
Rfam family: Archaeal small subunit ribosomal RNA
Source: RNAcentral